ACUCUUCGGAGUUAGUGGCGGACGGGUGAGUAACACGUGGGAACGUGCCUUUUGGUUCGGAAUAACUCAGGGAAACUUGUGCUAAUACCGAAUGUGCCCUUCGGGGGAAAGAUUUAUCGCCAUUAGAGCGGCCCGCGUCUGAUUAGCUAGUUGGUGAGGUAACGGCUCACCAAGGCGACGAUCAGUAGCUGGUCUGAGAGGAUGAUCAGCCACACUGGGACUGAGACACGGCCCAGACUCCUACGGGAGGCAGCAGUGGGGAAUCUUGCGCAAUGGGCGAAAGCCUGACGCAGCCAUGCCGCGUGAAUGAUGAAGGUCUUAGGAUUGUAAAAUUCUUUCACCGGGGACGAUAAUGACGGUACCCGGAGAAGAAGCCCCGGCUAACUUCGUGCCAGCAGCCGCGGUAAUACGAAGGGGGCUAGCGUUGCUCGGAAUUACUGGGCGUAAAGGGCGCGUAGGCGGAUCGUUAAGUCAGGGGUGAAAUCCCGGGGCUCAACCUCGGAAUUGCCCUUGAUACUGGCGAUCUUGAGUAUGAGAGAGGUAUGUGGAACUCCGAGUGUAGAGGUGAAAUUCGUAGAUAUUCGGAAGAACACCAGUGGCGAAAGCGACAUACUGUCUCAUUACUGACGCUGA
RNAcentral lists this ribosomal RNA (633 nucleotides) under Brevundimonas intermedia. RNAcentral describes it as "bacterial SSU rRNA". It matches the Rfam family "Bacterial small subunit ribosomal RNA", at positions 75 to 749 of the family's 1533-position model. Lineage: Bacteria; Pseudomonadati; Pseudomonadota; Alphaproteobacteria; Caulobacterales; Caulobacteraceae. The record is from RNAcentral.